UGUUAAAUGUUUCCGUUAAUUUACACCCAAAUUUCAACAUGAUUUACCUGUUAUUUGUAAUAACUGCAGCUUACUGUAAAUUUUUAGGGAAUACAUGUUAAAUAACGCCUCAUGUAUGUUAUUUAACACCUCAUUGCUAAAUAACAUUCAUUUUUGUUAUUUAACAGCACAACCGAACAUUCAAAGAUGGCGGCCAGAGUUAGAUGGUCUGGUAUGGUUUUGUAAGUUGCAAAACAAUGACUAAUUCAAUAUUGUCGAUGUUGCAUACUAAGAAAUUAAAUAUUGUAUGCAUUCACUGAAUGAAGGUUAGACAGAACACCACGUGAUUUCUGUACUGCAAAUGUUAUAAAGAAUCAUCUUGCUUUUAUUACCAUAAUCAUACCUCCCGAUUUUAAACGAGACACCUAACAUUUAAUUGACUAACUGCGCUCCAAAUCUGUGUGUGUAGAUGUGUGUGUGUGUGUGUCUUUCUGAUCACGUUCGCGCCACUUUCUGAAAUAACAGGUUCAUACAGUAUUUUUUGCAUUCUGGCAAAGAGCGAGUAAGAAGGCAUUUGAACCUGCAACGCAACGGACACACGGCCAUUCCAUGUCGGAGAAUCGCUCUGGUUACAUCGAGGAAAACCACAACAAUCCGAUGCAGAUGCAGGGCACUAUCCCUGAUCACACUGCUGAUCAAGAAGAUCUCACUGCAUGUAUCCCUCAGAACCAGAUGUCUCAGGACUUGAUAUGCCAGUGCAGCUGACCUUGAGAGUUCACUAGCUUUACCUGCAACGCCUCGUCUGAUACUUCUUGGAGAAACAGGAAACCACUUCCAACGCUGGAUGCUCAGCAUUGAGGGCCAGAUUGUGGGCGAAGGGAUCCAGUCGACCUUUGUGACAGGGCUGGCGUCUUUUUUCUCCGGUUUUUAUAUCUUCAACCUACAGUACCAAGAGGAGGCAGCGUGCACACUUGAAUUCAUCCAGAGACGCUUUGUGGGUAUAAACCCAGAAAAGGGGACAAAGGCUGCAAAGGGGAAAAAAAGAACGGUAAAUUCACACAUCGCCAGCCUCUUGCGCAGACUGAUGGACUUCCAGUGGGAUUUCAUUUCAAAAAGUGGAGGUGUGUUCAGGUGCGUUCUGGGCAAUGUAGUGUAUUUUUCUGUGAUUGAUCCGAUCUAUAUGUGCCUACAUUUGUAAGUAUUUAACUUUCAGUGUUUCUAUUACAAUAAAAAAGUUAAUUUGAAGA
Molecule: long non-coding RNA, 1226 nt
Organism: Pungitius pungitius (ninespine stickleback)
Lineage: Eukaryota; Metazoa; Chordata; Actinopteri; Perciformes; Gasterosteidae
Exons: 6
Source: RefSeq, a predicted model, not a curated record